GAAACGGGUGGUAAUGCCGGAUGCUCCGGUUGGAUGCAUGUCCUUCCGGGAAAGAUUUCAUCGGUAUGGGAUGGGGUCGCGUCCUAUCAGGUAGUCGGCGGGGUAACGGCCCACCGAGCCUACGACGGGUAGCCGGCCUGAGAGGGCGACCGGCCACAUUGGGACUGAGAUACGGCCCAGACUCCUACGGGAGGCAGCAGUGGGGAAUAUUGCACAAUGGGCGCAAGCCUGAUGCAGCGACGCCGCGUGCGGGAUGACGGCCUUCGGGUUGUAAACCGCUUUUGAUCGGGAGCAAGCCUUCGGGUGAGUGUACCUUUCGAAUAAGCACCGGCUAACUACGUGCCAGCAGCCGCGGUAAUACGUAGGGUGCAAGCGUUAUCCGGAAUUAUUGGGCGUAAAGGGCUCGUAGGCGGUUCGGCGCGUCCGGUGUGAAAGUCCAUCGCUUAACGGUGGAUCCGCGCCGGGUACGGGCGGGCUUGAGUGCGGUAGGGGAGACUGGAAUUCCCGGUGUAACGGUGGAAUG
This 523-nucleotide ribosomal RNA is filed under the name uncultured Bifidobacterium sp. RNAcentral's name for it is "bacterial SSU rRNA". It matches the Rfam family "Bacterial small subunit ribosomal RNA", at positions 153 to 688 of the family's 1533-position model. The record is from RNAcentral. Lineage: Bacteria; Bacillati; Actinomycetota; Actinomycetes; Bifidobacteriales; Bifidobacteriaceae.